Molecule: transfer RNA, 71 nt
Filed under: Bos taurus (domestic cattle)
Lineage: Eukaryota; Metazoa; Chordata; Mammalia; Artiodactyla; Bovidae
Also listed under: 3 other names
Rfam family: tRNA
About the family: Transfer RNA (tRNA) molecules are approximately 80 nucleotides in length.
Source: Rfam by way of RNAcentral
UCCUUGGGAGCUCAGUGGUAAAGAAUCUGCCUGCCAAGCAGGAGAUGUGGGUUCGAUUCCUGGAUGAGGAA